GGGUGAUGGCUCAGCAGUUAAGAGCACUGACUGCUCUUCCAGAGGACCUGGGCUCAAUUCCCAGCACCCA
Molecule: transfer RNA, 70 nt
Filed under: Mesocricetus auratus (golden hamster)
Lineage: Eukaryota; Metazoa; Chordata; Mammalia; Rodentia; Cricetidae
Rfam family: tRNA
About the family: Transfer RNA (tRNA) molecules are approximately 80 nucleotides in length. Their secondary structure includes four short double-helical elements and three loops (D, anti-codon, and T loops).
Source: Rfam by way of RNAcentral